Molecule: long non-coding RNA, 4118 nt
Filed under: Homo sapiens (human)
Lineage: Eukaryota; Metazoa; Chordata; Mammalia; Primates; Hominidae
Description: HSALNT0141534
Source: RNAcentral
GCGGCGGGACUGGCCCUGCGCCCGGGCACCGCCUGCGCUGCGCCGCCCGGCCUCACUCCGCGGCCCGCCAGGACCCGGCCCCGGUGAACGGGCUCGGGGUGCCGAGGUCCGGCUGCGGGGCCGGGAAGCCACCUCCACCUUGCCGUCUGUUACGACCCCCGAGGCGCAAGGCUGAGCCCCAUCUCGCUAUCCGGGUCCGGAGGGGUUCACCUUAGAAGGAUUUUUUGAAGCUCUUGGCGCUGGCUCUAAAAGAACCCACUUCCUUGCGGAUUUCAGGAGUCAAGAAUCCUUAAACGGAGCCAAUUUGCUUUGUAAAGCCAAUUGCCCAAGUGACUUGAGUUCGAAAGGAGAUACUUCCUGGACAACUGCUAUAAAAACAACAACAAAUACUUUUAUUAAUUCGGGGAGCCUGGUCACCAACUGGAUGCUCAGGGGAGAUGGAACCCUGAGCAGCCCAUGUACAUGGAAGAUCUUUAUUGCAGAGAUCUUCAAACCAGGAAACUGAGGCUAAAGAGUUUAGUAUUCUGCCAAGGCCAGCUAAUAGUUACAGAGCAUGGUUCCAAAUUCAGAGCUGUCGGAAGCUUAAGCCCAUGUGAUGAACCACGAAUGUGAUUUUACCUCAUUUAAGCCUUGCAGCAAACUCUGCCAACUAGUGUGCAUUUACUCCUGCCUCUCCAUGCCUGAAGGAAGGAAUGAAGAGGUCUCUGCUGUCCAUCUGAGCCAGUGACUGGGCUGUCUCUACCAGGCCAGAAUUUGGGGCAGGCAAGAUUUUCAGCAUCCCUAAAAUCACACUAAGAAGAUAAACAUGGAAACAGCUUGGAGCUGCCCUACCCAUAGUGAGGUGGUACUGACUGGAAGACAGCUUAAACGAUUUGGAGAAAAGUGGAAUACAUUAAUCUCAGAAAACUCUACCACCUGUAGAAAGAGAGCUAAAAUGGAGACAACCACAGGCAGUCUAAGAUACGCUGAACUACUACAGAAAAUAAUGCAGCAUGAAGGAAUGCUGGAAGGAUCUUCUAAGGGUGUGAGGAUACAGGCGUCAAAGACCCCGUGCUGAGACAGCUCCAUAACAACAUGCAGAUAUUUGGCAAUGAGGGUUCAGAAGAGGACUUGCUGUGGAGAAGAGAGAAAAGAGAUGGGAAGACUCUGUGAAUGAAUAGAGAACACUCUGCAAGCAUCCCAGUUCCUUUGGUUGCCCUGCAGUCUGCAGGUACCAGGAGAAAUCAAAAGCCGCCUGGAAGGGCUUUCUGUCUGUAUGGAGUCAAGGCAGUGUCUUCAAAUCUGUGCUUUCUAAAACAAAGAAAUAACCUUGAUGAAACAAAUUUUCCCCAGAGGAAGGGGAGAGCCCACAGUGAGCUGGUAAAGAAGAUGCCUGGAGCAGGCAGCAUCCUCAAAUGGAAGGUAAUUGCCCUCAAAUCACUUAACUAGGAUGACCUACUUUGCUUUCCUGUAUAGCCAGGUCUGUUAUCAGACCCUUAUCUUGGGAGGCAUCGUGCCAGAGCCUGGGGCAAGAAAGGGCUGCUAUCCAGGAAUGCAGGUGAAAUUAUAGCUAUUAGCCCUGUCUUAGAGUGUGAGGAAAAUGUGCCCCCCUACCCCUGGCUAAGUUUGGGUUCCCAUGUCAUAAACUGCCUCCCUCUCUGAUAGCUCUGCAUAAACAUCCCAGGAACUCAAAGUAACAUUUGAUUUCCCAAAGAGAACAUUUGCAUUUGUAACUGUCAGAAAUAGGAGAGAUCAUCAAAGCUAAAUGAAUUGGGCUAUAAACAGUUUGAAAUAUGUCUUUAAAUUUUAAAAAACAUAUUUUUUGUUUGUUUUGGGGAGAGAGGAUCAUUUAGACUCAACAACAAAACAGAAAACUGUGAGUGCCAUUUUGAGACAAGACCUACCUGGUCCUUCCCCCUCAUACUUUCUGCUACCCCGUGACCUCCCUCUCUCCUUCCAGUCACAGAUUAUCCGCUUGGUUUUGGAGUUUUAAAUGUGUGGUCCUGAGAGGGAGAGGAGAGCAAGAGAAUCUCAAGAUAGAUUUGGAAGAUUAGGGUAAGACAGUGAGGGUACUAGAAGUGCUUUCCCAAGUGAGUCCCCAGAAGGGAGGGAAAAUAUCCAUGGAGAAGGGGCAGUGUGGUUGGUCCUGGCUAAAGGGCCUGAACAGCAGAGGCUAUUGCAGCCCUGCAUAGCACAGGGCAAUGGAAUAACUUCAUAGGCCCCCAAACUGCAUGGAAGCAGAUAGGGUCUUAGAAGCACGGGGUUGCUUUCCUGGACCUGGUGUGGCUUGGAAGCCACAAAAUGUUUCCUGUGCACCUACAAGAGUGUAAGAAAACCACUGGAUAGGAAAGGACCUUGCAGACUGGAAUGAGUCAUCAUGCAGACCAAAGUCUACCUCAGUGGAUGGCAGUGUGGAUGGAUAGGGACAGAUGUCCGGAUACUGUCUGUCGUGUGCACUCCCACCCCAGCCUUUUGGUAUUCCUGGUACAAAGAUAUAACUCUUAGGAAAAACAGAAACCCUAAAUAGGCUGAGAUUAAGUUUCUUUCACCUGGAAGAAUGAAGACUAUGGUAGAUUUUGAGUUAUAAAACUCAAAUUUUUGCAUUUCUUGAACACCUAAGUCUAUGGACUGAUAUUAGCACCAGCUGCAGAAAUAAGCACAGUUCUCACCACUUUUCAAUUUGAAUGCAGAAGGAGCCUUGUCUGGCCAUAGCUCUGCCCUCUACAGUGGAAAACAUAACUUUAGUGGAAUUUAGAGAUCUUUGAGUAAAGACAGAAGAAUAGCAAAGUCUGUUAUUUACCACCUCACUUUUUUUGUACAAAUAUUUGAAAGCAUUUUCGCAUUAUACAAUACAAUUUGUUUCUAUUUUGAGGCAAACACAUCUGUUAGAGGAAUUAUUGCAUUUCUUCCCCCUAGAAAGCUGUCUCCUUAAUCUUUCCACAAAGUCUUGAGAAUGUUAGCUUCUUUUUCUACAUUGUUGGAAAUCACAGCGUGGUGUUCCUCCUGACGGCACUCCCACCUUCAUCAUUCUGUGCUUACAGUUUCACCACAUUCCAUUGUUCUAAUGAGGUGACUGAGUGGAAGCUGAGGUUAGAAGAUAAAACUUAGAACAGGAGCAGCCCUUGGCUCCUUUCCCUUGGAGGGUGCUUCAAAAGAGGUGAAGUUUUCAAAGAUAGAACUUCAGGGAGAGGGUUUUGUGUUCCGGCUUCGAAGUGGCAAUUCUUUCCUGAGUUGUCACCUGGACUAUCUUACCAUAUUUCCUGGUUGAAUGAUUCCUCUAAAUCUUAUCUUAGCCUGGCCAAAUAUCCCUGGUCCCUUUGAUAUCUAAGUUUUCUGGCCAAGAAGCAAAUUCCUGUAGUUCCAAAUCAGUAGCUCAAGUUCCUGGGUCAGACUACCCGCAGGCCCUCAAGUUGCUGUCUGGUUGUCGUCUAAAAAGUUGAUGUCACAGGCCAGUUGAUAUCAAAGAGUCCUGGGUUUAAAAACUGACUCAGGACUUCUAAUUGUAAGGCCUUACACAAGUUAUGUGACAAUUCUUAACCUAAGUUUCCUCAGCUAUAAAGUGGGGAUUAUAGCAAUAUCCCACAAUACCUCUGACAAUGAAAUAAUGUGUAUAUAUUGCUUGGCACCGGAUAUGGUUUGGAUCUGUAUCCCCAUCCAAAUCUCAUGUUGAAAUGUAAUCUGUUAUGUUGGAGGUGGGACCUGGUGGGAGGUGAUUGAAUCAUGGGGGUGGUUUCUAAUGGUUUAUCACUGUCUCCCUAGAGCUGUUCUCAUGAUAGAGUUCUCGUGAGAUCUGGUUGUCUAAAAGUGUGUGGCACCUCCCCACCCCACUUUUCCUCCUGCUCCAGCAAUGUUCAAUGUGCCUGCUUCCUGUUCACCUUCUGCCAUGAUUGUAAGUUUCCUGAGGCCUCCCCUGCCAUGCCUCCUGUACAGCCUGUGGAACUAUGAGCCAAUUAAACCUCUUUUCUUUAUAAAUUGCCCAGCCUCAGGUAUUCUUUAUAGCAGUACAAGAACCAAUACAGCACCUAAUAGGCAUUCAACAAAUAGUAAUUCCCUGCUCCUUCUGCCUAAGCAGACAUGCAUGGGUUUGUGUAUCUAAACUGUAGGACUUUACAAAGACUAAAAUGGAAUUUUUUGAGGCA